CACCCAGGAUCCGAACCAGUGAAAUCCUGGGCUGCCGAAGCAGAGUGCACAAAUUCAACAACUCAGCCACAGGGCCGGCCCUCAACCUUGUUUUUUUCACAAUAGUUUGGCUCAGAUUAGUUUCCAAACAAUGUGAACAUAUUGCAUUUGAUUGCUUUGUCUCUCAAAUCUUUUUUAACCUAUAGGCUUCCCCUCCAUCUAUUUUUCCUUGUAAUUUAUUUAUUGAAGAAACCUGGUUAUUUGUCCUGAAGAAUUUUCCACAUUCAAGAUGUUGACGACUGCAUCCUUGAGUUUAACCCGUUCUUCUCUCCCCCUAUAGUUCUUGUAAUUAGACAGAGCCAAAGCCCUGAUUGGAUUCAAGUUUGCUUUCUUUAAAAGCAUUCUUCAUAGGUGGUGCUAUUUACUUCCUAGUUGUCUCAUCAGGAGAACAAGAAAAUCCUAGUUCAUAACAUUAACUACUUAUUUGCAUUAUUAUCUCUUUUUGAGAUGUUAAGAUGGGUCAGUUGGUUGAGGGUCCAUACGUUACAAAGUUCUCCAUCAGCUUUUCACCGACCGGUUUUAGCAACUGUUGGUGAUGUUGCCUACUGGUGAAAUAUAAAUUAUUAGGGGCUACAAAAUUGUGACAUUCUAAUUCUACUGUCUCUUCUGCACUUAACUGGAAUUCUCUUAUAAAGAAGAACCUUCCCUCAUCAACUCUUUGGUAUCCUGAAGCACAGCUGGUAUAGAAAAGUUCUUUUCUCUUGCUUACUCUAAUGAAGCAAGCUGCCAUGUUGUGUGCUACCCUAUGGAGAAGUCCAUGUGGAAGAACUAAGGGCAACAUCUGGCCAACAGCCAUCAAGGAAGUGAGGUCCUCAAAGCAACAGUUCAGUGAGGAACUGAAUCCCGCAACAACCACAUGAGUGAGCUUGGAAGUGAAUCCUCCCCAGAUUUAGCCUCGAGAUGGCAUCAGCCCUGCUGGCACCUUGAUUGCAGCCUUGAGAGAGACCCUGAGUUGGAGGACCCAGCGAACCUGCACCUGAAAUCUUAACCCACAGGAACUGAGAUACUAAAUGUGUUGUUUUAAGCUAUUAAGUUUUGACAUCAUUUCUUGUGCAGCAUUAGUUAACAGAUACACCUCCACGGGGGUUGUUUUGUGUAUACUCUUACCUAUUAGAUGACUGUAGGGAGAGUAGAGUGCUGAUUAAUUGACUAAUGACAAGGUCAGUUGGCCAAUGGUCUUGAGUAGCAUUGUGUGGGGCUCUGGCUUUGCCCCGUUCUCCAUUUCAUCAGUGAUUAGGGUGGCUAAUCCUGCACAUGGUGGGAAAAAAUCCAGAACCAGAGAGUCCUCAACCAACUGAAACAAUGACCAAAUUGUUUGGAUUGUUGCAUAACUAAAUUCAAUUCAGCAAAGACUUACUAAGCUUGGUAACAAUCGUCUGUGUGGCGCUACAGGGACCUGUAGAGGAGGCUGGAGGCCAGAAGGCCCUGCACUCACUGCUAUGAACAGGACCUCAGAGUGUCCCCAGCCCCAAAGUCAAGGAUGGGAUUAAGUCAGGGCUACCAAAUGGCACAGAAGUGCAUAGAGAAAGGCAAGGAAUGAUGUUUAUCAAACCCCCUAAAAAGAAAACAGGAUUGCAGGGGAGGGAAGGGCAUUUUCAAUUGUUGCUCUUUGUCUUUACUCAAAAAGGGCUCCUUAGAAAUGCAGUGACAGUGAGUCAGCACCUGCCUUUAACAAG
Molecule: long non-coding RNA, 1715 nt
Organism: Equus asinus (donkey)
Lineage: Eukaryota; Metazoa; Chordata; Mammalia; Perissodactyla; Equidae
Source: Ensembl